UACGAAGGGGGCUAGCGUUGCUCGGAAUCACUGGGCGUAAAGGGUGCGUAGGCGGGUCUUUAAGUCAGGGGUGAAAUCCUGGAGCUCAACUCCAGAACUGCCUUCGAUACUGGAGCUUGAGUCCGGGAGAGGUGAGUGGAACUGCGAGUGUAGAGGUGAAAUUCGUAGAUAUUCGCAAGAACACCAGUGGCGAAGGCGGCUCACUGGCCCGGUACUGACGCUGAGGUGCGAAAGCGUGGGGAGCAACAGG
Molecule: ribosomal RNA, 250 nt
Filed under: uncultured bacterium
Lineage: Bacteria
Description: partial 16S ribosomal RNA
Rfam family: Bacterial small subunit ribosomal RNA
Source: RNAcentral